This 87-nucleotide transfer RNA is filed under the name Candidatus Zambryskibacteria bacterium RIFCSPHIGHO2_01_FULL_35_32. RNAcentral's name for it is "tRNA-Leu". It matches the Rfam family "tRNA". Rfam says of the family: Transfer RNA (tRNA) molecules are approximately 80 nucleotides in length. Their secondary structure includes four short double-helical elements and three loops (D, anti-codon, and T loops). Further hydrogen bonds mediate the characteristic L-shaped molecular structure. tRNAs have two regions of fundamental functional importance: the anti-codon, which is responsible for specific mRNA codon recognition, and the 3' end, to which the tRNAs corresponding amino acid is attached (by aminoacyl-tRNA synthetases). tRNAs cope with the degeneracy of the genetic code in two manners: having more than one tRNA (with a specific anti-codon) for a particular amino acid; and 'wobble' base-pairing, i.e. permitting non-standard base-pairing at the 3rd anti-codon position. Lineage: Bacteria; Candidatus Zambryskiibacteriota. RNAcentral also lists the same sequence under 1 other name. The record is from RNAcentral.
GCUCGGGUGGUGGAAUUGGUAUACACGAAGGACUUAAAAUCCUUUGGUCGCAAGACCUUGCGGGUUCAACUCCCGCCCCGAGCACCA